ACUCAAAUGAAUUGACGGGGAGGCGCACAAGCAGUGGAGCGUGUGGUUUAAUUCGAUAAUAAGCGAAAAACCUCACCAGGACUUGACAUGUAGCUGCAAGCGCACGGAAACGUGUGACCUUCGAGGGUGCUACACAGAUGCUGCAUGGCUGUCGUCAGCUCGUGGCGUGAGCUGUUUCCUUAAGUGGAUCAACGAGCGCAACCCCCACCGUAUGUUAAAUAAUUCAUGCGGAACAGCUCCGUUUUACGGAGAGGAAGGAGGGGAUGAUGUCAAGUCAGCACGGCUCUUACGUCCUGGGCUACACACACCCUACAAUGGCGAACAACAACGGGUUGCAACUUGGUAACAAGAAGCUAAUCCCUAAAAUUUCGCCUCAGUUCAGAUUGAGGUCUGAAACCCGACCUCAUGAAGAAGGAAUUGCUAGUAAUCGCGAAUCAGCAGGUCGCGGUGAAUACGUUCUCGCCUCUUGUACACACCGCCCGU
RNAcentral lists this ribosomal RNA (483 nucleotides) under uncultured bacterium. Its description in RNAcentral is "partial 16S ribosomal RNA". It matches the Rfam family "Bacterial small subunit ribosomal RNA", at positions 899 to 1397 of the family's 1533-position model. The record is from RNAcentral.